CAAGAUCUCCUCACAUAUGAAAACCUUUUCGCCCCCAUCGAUCUCUCCUCUCGACGAAAACCUCCUCAGCGAAAACCUUCUCGAUGAAACCCUCUGCUCAGCCAAAACCUCACUCAUCCCCAUCUCUCCGCCAAAAGCUCUUCUCGGCAAAAACCUCUGCUCUGCCAAAACCUUGCUUGCCCCCAUCUCUCCGCCAAAACCUCUGGUCAUCUCCUCUGUCCGCCAAAACCAAGCCUCCACCAAAACCUAGCCUCUUUCUCCCGGAAACCUCCAUCUCCUCCCAAAACCAAGCCCCCACAACAACCUACAUCUCCCCCAAAUCCCCACACGUCCCGUGACCUAGCCUCCGCCACUCUUCAACGACUUGAGGUGUUUAGGACAAUCGACGCCGUUGGAAAAGGCUCUUCUCGUGCGACUAGUAUCUCAAAAGGGCACUUCCUCUUAAGAUAUUCCCAUAUCAAUAUCUCCGAAGUUAUACAAAUUGCAAAACAGCAUGUCAAAGAUGCCAAUUUACCUGAUAUUGAAGUUGUAUGUAUCUUGUGGGAUAUGCUAAUGGAUGUUGUUCAAUGGUCUAGUAAAAACUAGUAACAGAAUGCAAAUUCUGUGUUUCGUCAGGUUAAAACAACAAUUGCCGCAUCCAACACCUCCAAAACUGUGACAAAUACCAAAAUUAGAGCAAAAAUCGUGAAGAAAGUGUAUCUUUGCCCGGCCAGAAGCAUGAUCCUCCUGAAGAGGAACCAUUGAGGAUAUUCUAUGAAUCUCUGUCGAAACAAAUUCCCUCAAGUGAAAUGGCACAAUUUUGAGGAAGCUGAAGAGGAAGAAUGAUUAAUAGUGAUUGCUUGGAACAAACUAAUAGUUUAUGGGCCUUCCAAAGGUGUGACUGGGAAGUACUUCGAUGAAGAAUUAUCAAGAAGGCUUUGAGAUUUAAGCGAGAAGAUGGUUAAAGCCAAUAAGUAAAGAGCAUUCAAGUCAAGAUGAUAAGUACAAUCUAUUAAGAUCAUUUAAAUUCAUGCAAUAAGAUGUAGUCGAGAGGAGUAGUUUUGAGUGUCCUAAUUUAAAUUUCUUUUUUAAGCAAGAAAUUAUGUUUGUUAUAGAAGUGUAAGGAUGAUAAUUUGUAUA
Long non-coding RNA from Zingiber officinale, 1119 nucleotides. RefSeq lists it as uncharacterized. NCBI's taxonomy places the organism in Eukaryota, Viridiplantae, Streptophyta, Magnoliopsida, Zingiberales, Zingiberaceae. The record is from RefSeq and is a predicted model, not a curated record. The transcript has 5 exons.